UAAAGCCUUCGGGCGCUAGAGGAGGAGCCUGCGUGCUAUCAGCUAGUUGGUAGGGUAAUAGCCUACCAUUGCUAUGACGGCUAGGGGGUGUGAGAGCACGACCCCCCACAAGGUUACUGAGACACGGAGCCUACACCUACGGGUGGCAGAAACUAGGAAUCUUCCGCAAUGGGCGAAAGCCUGACUGAGCGACGCCGCGUGUGGGAAGACGUAUUUGACGUAUGUAAACCACUGUGGCAGGGGAAGAAUUCUGACGGUACCCUGCUAGAAAGCACCUGCUAACCACGUGCCAGAAGCCGCGGUAAUACGUGGGGUGCAAGCGUUAUCCGGAUUUACUGGGCGUACAGCGUUCGUAGGCGGACAUGUAAGUGUCGGGUUAAAGCCCAGGGCUCAACUCUGGACAGGCUCGUCAUACUGCAUAUCUCGAAUUAGAUCGGGGAAGUUGGAAUUCUCGGUGGACGGGGUGAAAUCCGUUGAUAUCGAGAGGAACGCCAAGGGUGAAGACAGGCCUCUAGGACUUAAUGGACGCUGAGGGACGAAAGCUAGGGUAGCAAAGCGGAUUAGAGACCCGUGUAGUCCUAGCCGUAAACGAUGGAUACUAGAUGGCUGU
This 610-nucleotide ribosomal RNA is filed under the name uncultured organism. Its description in RNAcentral is "bacterial SSU rRNA". It matches the Rfam family "Bacterial small subunit ribosomal RNA", at positions 202 to 827 of the family's 1533-position model. The record is from RNAcentral.